This 45-nucleotide non-coding RNA is filed under the name Schistosoma mansoni. The record is from RNAcentral. Lineage: Eukaryota; Metazoa; Platyhelminthes; Trematoda; Strigeidida; Schistosomatidae.
AUUCAGCUGACGAGUCCUAAAGAGGACGAAACGUUGGUCUUGGAU